GAGGGUGUAGCUCAGUGGUAGAGUGUGUGCUUCACAUGCAUGAGGUCCUGGGUUCAAUCCCCAGUACCUCCA
RNAcentral lists this transfer RNA (72 nucleotides) under Camelus bactrianus (Bactrian camel). It matches the Rfam family "tRNA". From Rfam's summary of the family: Transfer RNA (tRNA) molecules are approximately 80 nucleotides in length. Their secondary structure includes four short double-helical elements and three loops (D, anti-codon, and T loops). The record is from Rfam by way of RNAcentral. RNAcentral also lists the same sequence under 3 other names. Lineage: Eukaryota; Metazoa; Chordata; Mammalia; Artiodactyla; Camelidae.